GACGAACGCUGGCGGCGUGCUUAACACAUGCAAGUCGAACGGAAAGGCCCCUUUGGGGGUACUCGAGUGGCGAACGGGUGAGUAACACGUGAGUAACCUGCCCUUGACUUCGGGAUAACUUCAGGAAACUGGGGCUAAUACCGGAUAGGAAUCCUUGCUGCAUGGUGGGGGUUGGAAAGCUUCGGCGGUUUUGGAUGGACUCGCGGCUUAUCAGCUUGUUGGUGGGGUAGUGGCUUACCAAGGCUUUGACGGGUAGCCGGCCUGAGAGGGCGACCGGCCACAUUGGGACUGAGAUACGGCCCAGACUCCUACGGGAGGCAGAAGUGGGGAAUAUUGCACAAGGGGCGGAAGCCUGAUGCAGCAACGCCGCGUGCGGGAUGACGGCCUUCGGGUUGUAAACCGCUUUCAGCAGGGGCGAAGCUUGUGGUGACGGUACCUGCAGAAGAAGCACCGGCUAACUACGUG
Molecule: ribosomal RNA, 465 nt
Filed under: uncultured bacterium
Lineage: Bacteria
Description: partial 16S ribosomal RNA
Rfam family: Bacterial small subunit ribosomal RNA
Source: RNAcentral